Molecule: ribosomal RNA, 171 nt
Filed under: Hemiphractus bubalus (Ecuador horned treefrog)
Lineage: Eukaryota; Metazoa; Chordata; Amphibia; Anura; Hemiphractidae
Description: 16S ribosomal RNA
Source: RNAcentral
ACGUGAUCUGAGUUCAGACCGGAGUAAUCCAGGUCAGUUUCUAUCUAUGAAGAGCUUCUUUUAGUACGAAAGGACCAAACAAGCAUGGCCAAUACUUAUGCAAGCCGUAAUUACCAGCUUAUGCUAACUCAAUAAGCACUUACCCUCACCCACCGCCCCAAGAAAAGGACA